RNAcentral lists this ribosomal RNA (450 nucleotides) under uncultured bacterium. RNAcentral describes it as "bacterial SSU rRNA". It matches the Rfam family "Bacterial small subunit ribosomal RNA", at positions 28 to 428 of the family's 1533-position model. The record is from RNAcentral.
GAUAAACGCUGGCGGCGCACAUAAGACAUGCAAGUCGAACGGAAGUCGUUGUAAUGAUUUUGACAUGGACAGAGAACUUGUUCGAAGAAAGUGAAGAUUGACUUACAACAAUGGCUUUAGUGGCGGACUGGUGAGUAACGCGUGAGCAACCUGCCUGUUAGAGGGGAAUAACAGUGAGAAAUCAUUGCUAAUACCGCAUAUGCCAUAAGCACCACAUGGUGCUAGUGGGAAAGGUUUACUGGCUAGGGAUGGGCCCGCGGCCUAUCAGCUUGUUGGUGGGGUAACGGCCCACCAAGGCGACGACGGGUUAGCCGGCCUGAGAGGGCGACCGGCCACACUGGGACUGAGACACGGCCCAGACUCCUACGGGAGGCAGCAGUGGGGAAUAUUGCACAAUGGGCGAAAGCCUGAUGCAGCGACGCCGCGUGAGGGAUGACGGCCUCGGUGUAA